RNAcentral lists this unclassified non-coding RNA (335 nucleotides) under soil metagenome. Its description in RNAcentral is "partial contains 5.8S ribosomal RNA, internal transcribed spacer 2, and large subunit ribosomal RNA". The stretch from base 1 to 120 matches the Rfam family "5.8S ribosomal RNA", at positions 35 to 154 of the family's 154-position model. The record is from RNAcentral.
GAUGAAGAACGCAGCGAAAUGCGAUAAGUAAUGUGAAUUGCAGAAUUCAGUGAAUCAUCGAAUUUUUGAACGCACAUUGCGCCCGCCAGUAUUCUGGCGGGCAUGCCUGUUCGAGCGUCAUUUCAACCAUCAAGCCCCCGGCUUGUGUUGGGGACCUGCGGCUGCCGCAGGCCCUGAAAACCAGUGGCGGGCUCGCUAGUCACUCCGAGCGUAGUAAUACAUCUCGCUCAGGGCGUGCUGCGGGUUCCGGCCGUUAAAAAGCCUUAUUUACCCAAGGUUGACCUCGGAUCAGGUAGGAAGACCCGCUGAACUUAAGCAUAUCAAUAAGCGGAGGA